UAUUAUAAAAAGGAAGAAGAGAGAUGAAAUGUAAUGAUUCUUUGAUUAUAAACUCUUCUUCUUGUUUUUGGUGUACAAAAGAGUGAGAUGAGUGAUGGUAUUUAUAAUGAGCAACAAUACAUAAAAUAACAAAGAUGGUGCUUAAUUUGGUAAAUGAGUGGGUAAUCAUAGUGCUUGAUGAGUAGAUGAUCAUAGUGCUUGAGUUGGUAAAGGAGUGGAUGAUCAUUUCAAUGUUUAUCUUAUAACACUACCCCUUGAUCAUCCA
This 265-nucleotide long non-coding RNA is filed under the name Brassica napus (rape). RNAcentral describes it as "long non-coding RNA (BNAP_LNC021778)". The record is from RNAcentral. Lineage: Eukaryota; Viridiplantae; Streptophyta; Magnoliopsida; Brassicales; Brassicaceae.